GCUUGCUCAUGUCCAUUCCAUAUUAGGGGACUCCAAAGCAGUACCCUGGAGGUGUGUAGGAAUUCACAAACGUGUAUAUUGCAACACAGCUCUGCCAAACCCAGCGUCAUCCCUGGCCUGCUGAGUGAUCGCAUAAUGAGCGGUAAACGUAUGGACAGAGGACACUGUGGCUCUACAGAUGGCCUGGAUAGGGAUGUGCACCAGGAAGGCCACUGAAGACGCCUGCGCUCUCGUUGAGUGAGCUCUGACAAUCGGUGGUGGCGGAACCUCCCACCAGGUCGUAACAGGUCCUUAUGCACAAGGUGAUCCAAUUGGAAAUCCUCUGCAAGGACACCCAGGUGACCCUUCCUCCUAUUCGCUGUAGUGAUGAAGAGUAGAUUUGAUUUACGGAAGGGUUUGGUAUGUUCAAAGUAAAAAGCCCUCCGGAUGUCCAGGGUGUAAAGACACCUCUCUUCACUGGUCUUGUGCUGUUUGGGACAGAACACUGGAAGGAAGAUGUCCUGGUUCAUAUGGAAGGUGGAAACCACCUUUGGCAGGAAGGCCAGGUGGGGCCGCAACUGAACCUUUUCCUUGUAGAAGACAGUGUACAGUGGUUCUGAGGUCAAGACUUUAGUUUCCGAGACCCAUCUUACUGACGCCACCGCCACCAGGAAAGCGACCUUCCAUGACGGAUGAGAAAGGGAGCAGAAACCCAGCAGUUCAAAGGGUGGCCCAGUGAGCCUAAAGAGGACCUGCCGGAAGAGUCUCUCCAGUCCUUUCAAGAACCUGACAUGUCAUGGGAGAACACCGUCUGUCCUUGGACUGGCGGGUGAAAAACGGAGAUGGCUGCAAGAUGCACUCUAAUGGCAGUGUGCGCCAGGCCCUGGUUCCUCAAAUGGAGCAAGUAAUCCAGGAUGGCCUGUAUGGAGGAACGCGAGGGAGAGAUGCCCCAUUUGGAUGCCCAGCAGGAAAACCUUGUUCACUUGGCAAGGUAAGUCAGUCUAGCUGAGGGCUUCCUACCUUCCAGGAAGACCUGUUGGACUCCUUCUGAACAGGUCCGCUCCUCCAGGUUCAGCUACACAGCAUCCAUGUUGAGAGGUGGAGAGACCCAAAGUUGGGGUGUAAGAGCCAGCCGCAGUCCUGCGACAGGUCUGUUUGGUUGGGCAGGGGCCAGGGAGGGGCCGCUGACAGGCACAUGAAUGUGCCGAACCAAUGCUGGCAAGGCCACACCAGGGCAAUCAUGAUAACCUGCACCUGGUCUCUUGAUCUUUGUCAGGGCCCUGCUGAUGAGUGGAAUCAGAGGGGACGCGUACAUCAGGCUCCCUAACCACGACAGGAGGAAGGCAUCGGAGAAGGUGUCCUUGCUCAGACCCUGUCAAGAAAUCGGUGGCAUUUCCUGUUCUGUCUGGUAGCAAACAGAUCCACUUGGAGAGCUCCUCACUUUUGGAAAAUCAUGCAGUGAUCACUCAUGGUGAGAGACGAAGUCCCUGCUUAGCUGUUCUGCCUGCGUAUUCCUGACACCGGGAAGGUAACAAGCUUCCAGGUGGAUCUCGUGGCUGAUGCAGAAGUCCCAUAGACGGAGUCCCUCCUGACAGAGAGCAGACGAGUGUUCUACAUCAACAGACAAGGGGGAGCGCAUGGGGGCUCUGUUGUCCAUUAGGACUCGUACCACCUUGCCCGACAGGUGGAGCAAGAAGACGCUGCAUGCCAGCCGGACUGCUCUGAGCUCUUUGAUGUUUAUGUGAACUGCGCCUCCUCUGGGGACCACAUCCCCUGUGUUUGGAGGUUGCCGAGAUGUGCCCCCCAGCCGAGGUCCAAGGUGUCCAACACCAAGUCGAUGGAGUGAGGGUGGUUGUCGAACUGAACCCCUUCCAGGACUGUCCUGCAGUCAGUCUACCAUCUCAGUGAGUAGGCCCAGAGAGCGGCAUGUGGCUUGAAGCACCACGACAUCCCUUUGGACUUGAAACCUGGAGCCGCCCUGGAUGAGCCAGUCAUUGAGGUCGAGCCCGACUGGGCAGAGGAUGGAGGCGGGUGGCUCAAGUGGCACUUGUAAUCUUUGGCUUGUUUAUGAGGCUGGUCAUGCUGAGUCUGACUCUCCUGGCCCUGUGGCUGCUGCAGUUUGAACCACUUACACACCGGAGCUGGGACAGAAAGGCCAAGGGUUUUCAGGGUGGUGUGGGAGUCCUUAAGGCCAUGCAAUUUGCUGUCUGUUUGCUCCACAAGUAGGGCUCGGCCAUCAAAUGGCAAGUCCUGCAAUGACUGUUGGGCCUCAGUGGACAACCCAGAAGAGCAGCCAAGAGACGCGCCGCAUGGAGAUAGCGGAAGCCAUGGUGCGGGCAGCAGCAUCAGACAGCGCCUUGAGGGCCAUCCUGGCCCUCAUCAAGGAUCGCUUGGAAUUCCUUCUUGGAUGCCUUAGGGAGUGACCCUUUGAAGUGGGCCAGGGCUUGCCUCAUAUUAAAGUCAUAUCAGCCAAGGAGGGAUUGCUGAAAGCUGGAAGAUGAAUAAACCUUACAACCAAAGAGAUCCAGCCUCCUCGAGUCUU
Long non-coding RNA from Gopherus evgoodei (Goodes thornscrub tortoise), 2521 nucleotides. RefSeq lists it as uncharacterized. The record is from RefSeq and is a predicted model, not a curated record. Lineage: Eukaryota; Metazoa; Chordata; Testudines; Testudinidae. The transcript has 3 exons.